This 428-nucleotide long non-coding RNA is filed under the name Daucus carota (carrot). Its description in RNAcentral is "long non-coding RNA (DCAR_LNC003504)". Lineage: Eukaryota; Viridiplantae; Streptophyta; Magnoliopsida; Apiales; Apiaceae. The record is from RNAcentral.
GUAGCACCCGAGGAUUAUUUCUAAUACAAGAAUAUUCCCCGACUUGCUGGAGUUAUUUAUUUACGAUUGAUUUAACAUGGACUGAAACAGAUUAUCCGCAAUUAAAUUAAAUCGAAGAAAUUGGUACGACGUAUUCAACCCCCCCCCUUCUACGUCUGAUUGGACCUAACAAUUGGUAUCAGAGCUUGGCUGAUCGAUAUACAGAUCUGAGAUCCGUAACCAAUCUGAAAAGCUAGCUGUCCGUACAAUCGUAAUUUUAUCUGAUAACAAUGUCGACACACAAGUUAGGAAUCAAAGUACCUCCAUUUGACAAGGAUGACUACAACAACUGGAAGAUGAAGAUGUUGCUGUACAUCAGAGUUGCUAAUCCCAUGUUCAUUGGGAUUCUGGAAAAUGGUCCAUUUGUGCCUAUGAAGAUUAUUCCUGAA